AUACGGAGGGUGCGAGCGUUAUCCGGAUUUAUUAGGGUUAAAGGGUGUGUAGGCGGGAGCCUAAGUCAGUGGUGAAAUCUCACAGCUUAACUGUGAAACUGCCAUUGAAACUGGGUUUCUUGAGUAUAGUUGAGGUAGGCGGAAUGUGUAAUGUAGCGGUGAAAUGCAUAGAUAUUACAUAGAACACCGAUUGCGAAGGCAGCUUACUAAGCUAUUACUGACGCUGAUGCACGAAAGCGUGGGUAGCGAACAGGAUUAGAAACCCGAGUAGUCC
RNAcentral lists this ribosomal RNA (274 nucleotides) under uncultured bacterium. RNAcentral describes it as "partial 16S ribosomal RNA". It matches the Rfam family "Bacterial small subunit ribosomal RNA", at positions 523 to 796 of the family's 1533-position model. The record is from RNAcentral.